Molecule: ribosomal RNA, 372 nt
Filed under: uncultured organism
Description: partial 16S ribosomal RNA
Rfam family: Bacterial small subunit ribosomal RNA
Source: RNAcentral
GUAGGUGGCAAGCGUUGUCCGGAAUUAUUGGGCGUAAAGCGCGCGCAGGCGGUUCUUUAAGUCUGAUGUGAAAGCCCACGGCUCAACCGUGGAGGGUCAUUGGAAACUGGAGAACUUGAGUACAGAGGAGGAAAGCGGAAUUCCACGUGUAGCGGUGAAAUGCGUAGAGAUGUGGAGGAACACCAGUGGCGAAGGCGGCUUUCUGGUCUGUAACUGACGCUGAGGCGCGAAAGCGUGGGGAGCAAACAGGGAUUAGAUACCCUGGUAGUCCACGCCGUAAACGAUGAGUGCUAAGUGUUAGGGGGUUUCCGCCCCCUUAGUGCUGCAGCUAACGCAUUAAGCACUCCGCCUGGGGAUACGGCCGCAAGACUG